RNAcentral lists this ribosomal RNA (305 nucleotides) under uncultured bacterium. RNAcentral describes it as "bacterial SSU rRNA". It matches the Rfam family "Bacterial small subunit ribosomal RNA", at positions 333 to 631 of the family's 1533-position model. The record is from RNAcentral.
UUACCCUACGGGAGGCAGCAGUAGGGAAUUUUCGUCAAUGGGCGCAAGCCUGAACGAGCGAUGCCGCGUGAGUGGAGAAGGCCUCCGGGUCGUAAAGCUCUGUUGCGGGGGAAAAAAGGCAGCAUCAGGAAAUGGGUGCUGACUGAUGGUGCCCCGCCAGAAAGUCACGGCUAACUACGUGCCAGCAGCCGCGGUAAUACGUAGGUGGCGAGCGUUAUCCGGAAUGAUUGGGCGUAAAGGGUGCGCAGGCGGUCCUGCAAGUCUGAAGUGAAACGCAUGAGCUCAACUGGUGCAUGGCCUUAGAG